This 422-nucleotide ribosomal RNA is filed under the name uncultured bacterium. RNAcentral's name for it is "partial 16S ribosomal RNA". It matches the Rfam family "Bacterial small subunit ribosomal RNA", at positions 360 to 774 of the family's 1533-position model. The record is from RNAcentral.
AAUCUUCCGCAAUGGACGCAAGUCUGACGGAGCAACGCCGCGUGAGCGAAGAAGGUUUUCGGAUCGUAAAGCUCUGUUGUGAGGGAAGAACACGUAUGAGAGUAACUGUUCAUACGCUGACGGUACCUCAACAGAAAGCCACGGCUAACUACGUGCCAGCAGCCGCGGUAAUACGUAGGUGGCAAGCGUUGUCCGGAAUUAUUGGGCGUAAAGCGCGCGCAGGCGGUCCUUUAAGUCUGAUGUGAAACCUUGCGGCUUAACCGCAAGCGGUCAUUGGAAACUGGGGGACUUGAGUACAGAAGAGGAGAGUGGAAUUCCACGUGUAGCGGUGAAAUGCGUAGAGAUGUGGAGGAACACCAGUGGCGAAGGCGGCUACCUGGACUGAUACUGACACUGAGGUGCGAAAGCGUGGGGAGCAAACA